AAGUAGUCCCUGCUCGCCACAACUAGAGAAAGCCCACACACAGGAUGAAGCCCCAAUGUAGCCAAAAAUCAAUCAAUAAAUUUAUUUUUUAAAAAAAUCAAGGCACGAUCCAUGAAAGAGAUAAUUGAUAAACAGGCUUCACUAAGAUUUAAAAGUUCUCUGCAGAAGACAAGGUCAAGAAAAUGGGAAGAUAAGCCACAGACUGGAAGAAAAUAUUUGCAAAAUACACAUCCAAUAAAGGACUGUUAACCAAAAUAGAGAAAGAACUCUUAAAAUUCCACAGUAAGAAAACAUACAACCCAACUGAAAAAUGAGCCAAAGACUUCACAGACACCUCACUAAAGGAGAUACAUAGAUGGCAACUGAGGACAUGAAAAGAUGCUCCACAUCAUAUGUCAUCAGGGAAAUUAAAACAACAGUGAGAGACCACCACACAGCUGUUAGAGUGGCUGGAAUCCAGACACCAAUAGCACCAAACGCUGCUGAGGUUGUGGAGCAACAGGAACUCUCAUCCAUUGUUAAUGGGGAUGCAAAAUGGUGCAGCCAAUUUGGGAGGAAGAUUCUUACAAAACUAAACAUACUCUUAGCAUAUGAUCCAGCAAUUGUGCUCCUUGGUAUUUACCCAAAGGAGUUGGAAACUUCUGUCCGUACAAAACCUGCACAUGGAUGUUUAUGGUAGGUUUAUUCAUAAUUGCCAAAACGGAAGCAACCAAGAUGUCCUUUCGUACGUGAAUGAAUAAACAAACUGUGGUCCAUCCAGGCAAUGGGAUAUUAUGUAGAGCUAAAAAGAAAUGACCUAUCGAGCCAUGAAAAGCCAUGGACGAGCCUUAAAUGCAUGUGACUAAGUGAAAGAAGCCAGUCUGAAAAGGCUAAAGACUGUGUGAUUCCAACUAUGACAUUCUGGAAAAGGCAAAACUAUGGAGACAGUAAAAAGAUCAGUGGUUAUGGGGGUGGGGUUGGGGGAUCGUGGAAUAGGCAGAACCCAGAGGGUUUUUAGGGCCGUGGAAAUACUCUGUAUGAAACCAUAAUGAUGAUACAUGUCAUUAUCCUUUUGUCCAAACCAACAGAUGGUACAGCACCAAAGUGAAGCCUAGGAGAACUGUGGGCUGCGGGCGAUGGUGCUGGGUCAGUGCAGGUGCGUCGACUGUAAAAAACGUCCCGUUCUGGGAGGGGGUAUGGAUAGUGGGCCAGUCUGUGGGGCGGGGGGGACGUGAGAAUUCUCUGUACCUUCCUCUUUACUGCCAACCCACAGCUGCUCUAAAAGCAGGCUUGUACACUUUAAAUGUAUACAAUUUUAUUUGUCCAUUAUACCUGUGGAGGGGGAGCUGCAAGAAAUGCAAACAAUGUGUUAGAUGAAUGAAGAAAAACGGAAAAGAAACAGUAUUCCCACAGCAUCUUCAAAAUUGCUAGUAAGUUUUUCAGGUUAAUCUCCUUUUCAAUGCAGUUAUUAAGACUGAUUAUCAUUUACGUAUAGAAAAGCCACUGUCUUUUGAAACAUUAGUAAUUCCAGCUUACUAGGCUCUUACUAUGUUUAAAACUGCUCCCAUUAACUUCCUCGAGUUGUCCAGGUGUACAGUCCCGUCAUCUAACAGUCAUCUCAUUUCUUCUUUCCUGUACGUUAUGUCACUUAUUACAGUCUCCUGUCUGAUUGCCUCUCCUGGCACUCCCUGACUGUUUCCCGUUCAGGUGAGAAGCGGUGGGGAAGGAGGGCAUCGGAGCAAACGUGUUCAGUUACGUGUGCUUUCAACCUUGUCAAGUGUGUGGUGGCGUCUCACGCUUAUCUUUGGCGUAUCCCACCAUCCAAAAGCACACUGUCGAGUUUAUUUCCUGUAGUCGAUUUUACAAAGGAUAGUCCCACGGACGCCAUGGCCCCCAGCCUGUGUCCCCUGCCCCGCCUCCACCUCUGCCUUUCACGCCCCCUUGGUGUCCAGGUUCUGCACACGGCCAGCCCCCCGCCUCUGCUCCCUGCCUUUUCAGAUGCUGCCGCGGUUCCUGCUUUCUCCUUUCUCACUGUUUCUCAUCGAGAGGACUCCUUUACCUCAGCCACCCGGCCCGGAGGUGUGCACCACGGUGGCCCUGGCUGAAUGGCUGUGCUUCCCAGUCUGUGGUUCAGAGGUAAACACAGCCAGACUCCAGCCUGGGAAAGCUCGCGUUCGGCGUCAGACCGCGCCUUCCAGUGACUCGCCCCCUUGCGAAGUGGGUGUUGGAGUGGCUGCUGGCAUAAGAAGCCAGUACUUGCCAGGACCGACCGAAGGCCACGCGUCCACCCUGGAAAGACUCCGCCGGGCCCACGUCCCGGUCGUCCACAGACGUGUCCUGUCACAUCCCAGUGCCACGUGGGCCCUGCCAGUGUCGCCAGGUUGAGGGUCAUGGAGACUGAGAGCCCCCAGGGAGGGCGAUCCCAGCACCGCAGUUCAGCAGCUUGAAGAUGCUCGUUAUUUGAGGUUUCAACAUCUCUGAAUUUGGGGUGUCUUAUGGUCAGGGAUGUGUGUCUCUUUAUCCGUCUCUUCACUCCUUAGGGGCCGUGAAAUAACUGCACUAUUAUGGUUGGGGGGGUCUUAGAUGUGUUGGAAUAGGUGACUCAAUUCACAGGCAGUGUCUCGGGUUUGGGUGCUGGGGUCCUCCCGCAGCCCACCCUGCCCUGAGUGUGGUCCUAGGAGCUUCAAGUAGAAAACAGACCCAGCCGCCGUGCAUCUCCUGGAGGGGUCCAGGUUCUGAGAGCUCCCGGGUGCAGAGGCCAUGUGGUCCGAGUCUGGAAAGUGGGCUGGGGCCAGGGGACAGGACACGCGGGAAGAACCGCCCCCACUUGGGGAGAAGACAAGACGGGGGCCGCAGCGGCUUGGUCAGGGGCAAACAGCACUUCUCAGACAAACGUCAAGUAAUCAGGGCCCGGCUGGAGGAUGUGGAGCUGCACGGGUGCCGCCAUGGGCUGAACUGUGCCCCCAAAAUUGUAUGUUGGAGCGCUGGUCCCAGCACAGAAUGUGGCUGCAUUUGGAGACUGAGCCUUCAGUGAGGUGGUUGCAUUAUAACGAGGCUGUUUGGGUGGCCCUCGUUGCACAGGGCUCGAGAUGCACUUGCAGCGGGAGGGCCGCAUGAGGACACAGCCAGCAGGCGGCCGUCUGCAGGGCAAGGCGAGAGGCCUCCCAGAAACCAGCCCUGCCGGCAUCCUGAUCUUGGAGCCCCAGCCUCCGCGACUAAGGGCAGGGAAGCCUCUCUGCUUAAGCCCCGGGGCUGUGGUGUUCUGCUGUGGCAGCCCGAGCAGACGGGUGCAGAUACAUACAUGAACGUUUGGAGGAUUCCAUUCCAAAAUAGAAAUGGCGACCGCAGGUGGUGGGGUCAUGAUGACUGCAGAUUUUUGACUGAGUUAUUGUUGCUAAGUUUCUCAACUAACUUGUGUUACGUGUUUAAUACAAACACGUACAAAUUGAACAUAAACACUGAGGAAGAAUCACCUCACACCUAUCAGAAUGGCUGUCAUAAAAAAGAACAAAAAUGGGGACUUCACUGGCGGUCCAGUGGUUAGGACUCCAAGCGUCUACCUCUGGGGACACAGGUUUGAUCCCGGGUCGGGGAACUAAGAUCCUGCAUGCCGCGCAGCCCAGGCCGAAAACAAACAAAACCCCACAAAUAAAAAAAUGUUCGCAGGGCUUCCCUGGUGGCACAGUGGUUAAGAAUCUGCCUGCCAAUGCAGGGGACAUGGGUUCGAGCCCUGGUCCAGGAAGAUCCCACAUGCCGCGGAGCAACUGAGCCCGUGCACCACGACUACUAUGCCUGUGCUCUAGAGCCUGUGAGGGACAACUACUGAGCCCGUGAGCCAUGUCUACUGAGCCUGUGAGCCACAACUACUGAAGCCCGUGCGCCUAGAGCCCGUGCUCCGCAACAAGAGAAGCCACCGCAAUGAGAAGCCCGCGCACCGCAACGAAGAGUAGCCCCCACUGCCCACGCACAGCAACGAAGACCCAACGCAACCAAAAAUAAAAAAUAAUAAUAAAUUUAUUUUUAAAAAA
Long non-coding RNA from Lagenorhynchus albirostris (white-beaked dolphin), 4007 nucleotides. RefSeq lists it as uncharacterized. Lineage: Eukaryota; Metazoa; Chordata; Mammalia; Artiodactyla; Delphinidae. The transcript has 2 exons. The record is from RefSeq and is a predicted model, not a curated record.